This 542-nucleotide long non-coding RNA is filed under the name Calidris pugnax (ruff). Its description in RNAcentral is "lncRNA (ENSCPUG00000010097.1)". Lineage: Eukaryota; Metazoa; Chordata; Aves; Charadriiformes; Scolopacidae. The record is from RNAcentral.
UGAUAGUUGCCAUAUUCCGUUAGUAAAGCCGAAGUGUCUCUUGACAAUCAGAAGAGUGAACACCACUUUUUUUUUUCUUAAAUCUUCCAGCUCUGAGUCUCCAGCCAGAUGUUCUGCACCAGAAAUAUAGUGCUUUCAGCUGCAGUGGCAUCAGCAGCAAGCAUCAAAUGAAAAGGGAUUGAAAUAGAGAAUACACUAUGUCACUUGCUCUACACAGUUCCCAUUUAUAACUGAUAUCACAUGAGCUUCAUUAAGACUGAGAGCAGAGCCUGAGCUGUUAUGACACAGGAUCACGUAUAUGGCACAAUAUUUCUUUGAAGUUGAUGAAGCACUAAACCAGUGCUAUUCAGAUUUUGUGGAGCACUGCUGGCUUCCUGCUUGCAUCGGCCUCAGAACGACAAGAAGAGAAGGGGAACCUGGUAACCAGGAGCCAAGUCAGGUAGGAGAUUUUGCAUCUGGACGCCCUUGAGUCCAGGCACGGCUCCCAAGCCUCAUUGCAUUCAGAGCUGUGAAAGGGGAAGCACAGAGCUCUACCAUUAGGU